GCCGCCUACUCCUCCACAGAGUACCCCGCAGGAUCAGUGCAUAUCCUCUCGGACAUGGAGACUGUGGUUCGCCGCUGCCCAUUCUUAUCCCGAGUGCCUCAGGCCUUUCUGCAGAAGGCAGGCAAAUCCCUGUUGUUCUAUGCCCAAAACUGCCCUAAGAUGAUGGAAGUUGGGGUCAAGCCAGCCCCUCGGGCCCUGUCCACUUCAUCAGUACUCUGCCACCAGGUCAAGGAAACCCCUCCAGCCAAUGAGAAGGACAAAACUGCCAAAGCCGAGGUUCAGCAGGCUCCUGAUGGCUCCCAGCGGACCCCAGAUGGCACGCAGCUUCCAACUGGUCACCCCUCCCCUGCCUCGAGCCAGAGCACUGCAAGCAAAUGUCCUUUCCUGGCGGCCCAGAUGAGCCAGGGUGGCAGCAGCGUCUUCCGCAAAGCCAGCCUGGAACUUCAGGAGGACGUGCAGGAAAUGCAUGCUGUGAGGGAAGAGGUUGCUCAAACCUCAGUGAAUCCCAGUGUGAUUAACGUGAAGACUGAUGGAGGGGAGCCGAGUGGACUGCUCAAGAACUUUCAGGAUAUCAUGCGAAAGCAGAGACCAGAAGGGGUCUCCCAUCUUCUUCAAGAUAACUUGCCAAAAUCUGUUUCCACUUUUCAGUAUGAUCGUUUCUUUGAGAAGAAAAUUGAUGAGAAAAAAAAUGACCAUACAUAUCGGGUUUUCAAAACUGUGAACCGGAAGGCGCAGUGCUUCCCCAUGGCGGAUGACUAUUCAGACUCUCUCGUCAGCAAAAGGCAGGUGUCCGUCUGGUGUAGCAACGACUACCUCGGGAUGAGUCGCCACCCACGGGUGUGUGGGGCCGUCAUAGAUACUUUGAAACAAUAUGGUACUGGAGCUGGGGGUACUAGAAACAUUUCUGGAACUAGUAAAUUCCACGUGGACCUGGAGCAGGAGCUGGCUGACCUCCACGGGAAAGAUGCAGCACUCUUAUUUUCCUCGUGCUUUGUGGCCAAUGACUCAACCCUCUUCACUCUGGCUAAAAUGAUGCCAGGCUGUGAGAUUUACUCUGAUUCUGGGAACCAUGCCUCCAUGAUCCAAGGGAUCCGGAACAGCGGAGUGCCCAAGUACAUCUUCCGCCACAAUGACGUCCACCACCUCCGAGAACUGCUGCAGAGGUCGGACCCCGCAGUCCCCAAGAUUGUCGCUUUUGAAACUGUGCAUUCCAUGGACGGGGCUGUGUGCCCACUGGAAGAGCUGUGUGAUGUGGCUCACGAGUUUGGAGCCAUCACCUUCGUGGAUGAGGUCCAUGCAGUGGGGCUGUAUGGGGCUCAAGGCGGAGGGAUUGGCGAUCGGGAUGGAGUUAUGCCAAAAAUGGACAUCAUUUCUGGAACUCUUGGCAAAGCCUUUGGCUGUGUUGGAGGGUACAUCGCCAGCACGAAUUCCCUGGUUGACACCAUCCGGUCCUACGCGGCUGGCUUCAUCUUCACCACCUCCCUGCCACCCAUGGUGCUGGCUGGAGCCCUGGAAUCUGUGCGGAUCCUCAAGAGUGCCGAGGGCCGGGCCCUCCGCCGCCAGCACCAGCGCAACGUCAAGCUCAUGAGGCAGAUGCUGAUGGACGCCGGCCUCCCAGUCAUCCACUGCCCCAGUCACAUCAUCCCUGUCCGGGUUUCAGAUGCUGCUAAAAACACAGAGAUCUGUGAUGAACUAAUGAGUAGAUACAACAUCUACGUCCAAGCGAUCAAUUACCCCACGGUGCCCCGGGGGGAAGAGCUGCUGCGGAUCGCCCCCACGCCCCUCCACACCCCGCAGAUGAUGACCAACUUCGUUGACAAUCUGCUGGCUGCAUGGAAGCAAGUUGGGCUGGAACUCAAGCCACAUUCCUCAGCUGAGUGCAACUUCUGCAGGAGGCCACUGCAUUUUGAAGUGAUGAGCGAAAGAGAGAAAUCCUACUUCUCGGGUAUGAGCAAGUUGGUGUCUGCUCAGGCCUGA
This is an RNA transcript of Sus scrofa (pig), 1977 nucleotides long. It is a transcript of the gene named aminolevulinate, delta-, synthase 1 pseudogene, with no coding region annotated. Lineage: Eukaryota; Metazoa; Chordata; Mammalia; Artiodactyla; Suidae. The record is from RefSeq and is marked provisional.